Molecule: transfer RNA, 77 nt
Filed under: Phenylobacterium sp.
Lineage: Bacteria; Pseudomonadati; Pseudomonadota; Alphaproteobacteria; Caulobacterales; Caulobacteraceae
Also listed under: 1 other name
Description: tRNA-His
Rfam family: tRNA
About the family: Transfer RNA (tRNA) molecules are approximately 80 nucleotides in length. Their secondary structure includes four short double-helical elements and three loops (D, anti-codon, and T loops). Further hydrogen bonds mediate the characteristic L-shaped molecular structure. tRNAs have two regions of fundamental functional importance: the anti-codon, which is responsible for specific mRNA codon recognition, and the 3' end, to which the tRNAs corresponding amino acid is attached (by aminoacyl-tRNA synthetases). tRNAs cope with the degeneracy of the genetic code in two manners: having more than one tRNA (with a specific anti-codon) for a particular amino acid; and 'wobble' base-pairing, i.e. permitting non-standard base-pairing at the 3rd anti-codon position.
Source: RNAcentral
GCCGCCUUAGCUCAGUUGGUUAGAGCGCCAGAUUGUGGCUCUGGAGGUCCUCGGUUCGAGCCCGAGAGGUGGUACCA